RNAcentral lists this long non-coding RNA (622 nucleotides) under Rattus norvegicus (Norway rat). RNAcentral's name for it is "long non-coding RNA NONRATT022475". The record is from RNAcentral. Lineage: Eukaryota; Metazoa; Chordata; Mammalia; Rodentia; Muridae.
UAUUUAGCAAGCACAUGCUAGCUAUUCCAGUUUGAACUCUAUCAACCGUAAAUGUUUAGGGAAAUAAAACAUUGAAGAUGCUCCUCGAGGUGAGGAACAAAGAGGAACUAGGCACUCUCUAUAUGGAGAACUUCUGUCUCAAACUAGACAGAAGAGAAGAGUAAUAUCAAAGGCUGACCAGUCCAUUUGAAGACCAAUAUGCAGGGAGGCAGGGCACCAGGAAGAAAGUUAAAAAAAGGACAUUUUAUGGGUCUGACUAGGAAGUGGGUCUAAGGUAGCCACACCAAAGGUGCCUGACUUGUGACUCUGGAGCAAUCUAGUGCCAAAAUAUCUCAGGACAUUUUCAACCCAUUGAAGUGUAUAAAAAUAUUGAAGUUAAUUCAACAAAUUAACACCAAACUUCUAACAGAAGGAAUCUCCUCGGCUCUGAAAUCAGAGACACUCACUUUUCAUCAAUUAUGUGCAGCGUUUGUUAGAGAAAAAAAAGUAACAAAUGUAAAGAUUUGCUUUAUUUCUAUUGGGGGAAGGGAUACGAUAGAUAUAACUGUUAUCCAAUCUGCUGUCCACUGUGUACACACAUACCCACACACAUACAUAUACAUACACACCAAAAGUCCCCCCC